This is a long non-coding RNA of Brassica oleracea var. oleracea, 489 nucleotides long. RefSeq lists it as uncharacterized. NCBI's taxonomy places the organism in Eukaryota, Viridiplantae, Streptophyta, Magnoliopsida, Brassicales, Brassicaceae. The transcript is spliced from 3 exons. The record is from RefSeq and is a predicted model, not a curated record.
GAUUUAGUAAUAAAAUCUAACCAUUUGAAAAUAUAUAGAAAGAGAGAAAUAAACUUAUUGUACAUGAAGGAAGAGGUGAACCGUCGAAGAGAUUAUUAAAGGUGUUCUCGAAUUUCAUAUUUUGUCUAUGUAAACUAAAUGUGGUGACGAAGAAGUCAAUUAGAGAUCAGCGUUCACAUACGUAAAAAUAAAUUAAAAAGAAAAAAAAAACAUUCAAAUUAGACAAGCGUUAAACGAAAGAAAGAAGCUGGGCAGUGAGUGGAUGUAGUGAGACCUAACCCUAUUAUUGCCUGGAAAGUUUGCUCUUGGGGAUGCAGCUGGAAACUACAACUAUGGUUUGGAGUGUCUCUUUAGGUUUUAUAGUUAUGGUCUGGAGAGGCAAUUCGAUGAGGAGCUUUACAAGGACUUUGAGCAGCUAUCACUUGACUUCUACCACAAGGGAAACUUAUAUGGCUUGGAGAAAUAUUGGUAGGGACCUUUUUGUUAAGA